This is a small nuclear RNA of Dipodomys ordii (Ord's kangaroo rat), 100 nucleotides long. The record is from Ensembl. Lineage: Eukaryota; Metazoa; Chordata; Mammalia; Rodentia; Heteromyidae.
GGGUUUGCUUUGGCAACACAUAUACCAAAAUUGAAGUGAUACAGAGAUUAGCAUGGCCCCUGUGCAAGGACAAAUGUCCAUUAGUGAUUACCUAGUACUA